UGGGGAAUAUUGGACAAUGGGCGGAAGCCUGAUCCAGCAACGCCGCGUGAGGGAUGACGGCCUUCGGGUUGUAAACCUCUUUCAGUACCGACGAAGCGAAAGUGACGGUAGGUACAGAAGAAGGACCGGCCAACUACGUGCCAGCAGCCGCGGUAAUACGUAGGGUCCGAGCGUUGUCCGGAAUUAUUGGGCGUAAAGGGCUCGUAGGCGGUUUGUCGCGUCGGGAGUGAAAACAGCGGGCUUAACUCGUUGCUUGCUUUCGAUACGGGGCAGACUAGAGGUAUGCAGGGGGAGAAUGGAAUUCCUGGUGUAGCGGUGAAAUGCGCAGAUAUCAGGAGGAACACCGGUGGCGAAGGCGGUUCUCUGGGCAUUACCUGACGCUGAGGAGCGAAAGUGUGGGGAGCGAACAGGAUUAGAUACCCUGGCAGUCCACACCGUAAAACGUUGGGCGCUAGGUGUGGGGUCCUUUCCACGGAUUCCGUGCCGUAGCUAACGCAUUAAGCGCCCCGCCUGGGGAGUACGGCCGCAAGGCUAAAACUUAAAUGAAUUGAC
This 552-nucleotide ribosomal RNA is filed under the name uncultured bacterium. RNAcentral describes it as "partial 16S ribosomal RNA". It matches the Rfam family "Bacterial small subunit ribosomal RNA", at positions 355 to 914 of the family's 1533-position model. The record is from RNAcentral.